This is a long non-coding RNA of Adelges cooleyi (spruce gall adelgid), 1619 nucleotides long. RefSeq lists it as uncharacterized. Lineage: Eukaryota; Metazoa; Arthropoda; Insecta; Hemiptera; Adelgidae. The record is from RefSeq and is a predicted model, not a curated record. The transcript has 3 exons.
GCGUCACAAACACCGAACGACCGCGUCGUUGGCACUGCAAAGGCUCCUUUGACGCGACGACCACGCCUUUUUCAGCAGUUUGCGUCUGUCAACCGCUCGUUCACGUUUCGGUUUUCCAUGUCAAACGCACAUACUAGGUAUAACGUAAAGUACAAUACAGCGUUAUAAUAAUAUAUUGUACUUUGUUAUUUUUUUUUUUAUCGACGUGUGCGCGUUCACGUUGGAAACGCUGAAAAAUUACUUAUCAAACCCAACACGGAUGUUGCAUAAUUUUGGUUAGACAUGUGCACGCGAUUUUUUGUUGUACCGAUAUCUGCGGUGCGCUACUUGACGGUGUACGGUUUCUCGUUGCGUGAAUUUGUUACCGAAAGGUCAAAGGAUAUCGACAAACGGCGGCUACAACGCUAAUGAGCCAACAGAGAUCCAAGUUCGAUUUUUUCGCUCGACACGUAGUCAUGUCGUAAUGAUAUAACUGCGAGUCGUCCGAAAACUCGGAUAGUGUUCUGUAUGUAAAUCAUCGUUUUAAACAACGUCUGGCGGCGGCUUCAGCACAUUUUUGCCGGGCGUUCUUCUGUCGAAACGUUGUAUAAGUUUUGACAUUAACCAUAUAAUGAUUUCUACGAAAUUCACCUGUCUGCUGGUUUUUCGAAAUCGGAAGAUCCGUUUGAGCUGAUACAUUUGGAUUUUUAUCUUUACAGGCCACGAUCGCCUUCUCGGAAUUAUGUUUUUAUCUAUGACAAUCGCGUGUACAUAUUAUGUUAAAAAAAAAAAACUGUAUUCAUUUUAACAGCUGUUAACACACGUGUAUUUAGCCCAUUAGAGACGCCAAGGGUGGGCAAUAGCCCUCCGUAAAAUCGUCAGGUCCCCGCUUUGGCCCACCCCGACUUCUCUAACCUCUCAAAUAAAUACCUGUACCACCUGUAUAAAUAAUAACAUAUGAUAUUAUAUUAUCAUUAUUUAUAUUUAUAAACUUCAUAUCCAUUUUUUGUUAAAAAAUAAAUAAAUAUACUUAUAAGUAUAAUAUAGAUCAGGUCUUAUUUAUAAAUAGAGAAAGAUAGACAGUUAUUUAAGUAUUGCACUAAACCACAAUUAUACCUGUGAAUAUAACCUAAAAAAUAUUAUAGUUUAUAAUAAUUAUUAUUUCAUUUAUGAUUUUUUACUUUUAUUUAUUUUAUACUUAAGUAUGUUUUUUGUGUUAUUAACACUGAUAUUUUUAUUUAUUCGUAUGGCAAUAUAUAAAAAAAUCCCAAAACACUGAGAUAACGGGCCCAUAAUUGUUUGGGAGAGAGUGAAGUUUCCCCUCGGCUUAUUUUUAAGAAUAACUAAUUUUGGUUCGCCCCAAAAUUUGUACUACCGUUCAAAUACCGUAUUUGUCUACCUCUAGGAUAAAUGUUUGAUGCCGUGACAUCUAUAAUGUUUUUAAAUAACAUGUCGUGCUUGUUCUCUUAUACCAAUAUAGUAUGAUUAAUUUUUUUAAAUGUAGUAAGUGUCCAUUUAAACCAUUCGACGUUUUUUAUAAUUAAAUGGUAACUAAUUGCAUACAUAAAUACAUUGUUUUUUAACUUCUGUUGUUUUUAAAAAUUAUUACAUUUGUGGCACUUAUUAUGUAUUAACCAUUA